UCUGAUGCAAUUUUAUGCAAU
This 21-nucleotide non-coding RNA is filed under the name Caenorhabditis elegans. Lineage: Eukaryota; Metazoa; Nematoda; Chromadorea; Rhabditida; Rhabditidae. The record is from RNAcentral.